UGGGGAAUUUUGGACAAUGGGCGAAAGCCUGAUCCAGCAAUGCCGCGUGUGUGAAGAAGGCCUUCGGGUUGUAAAGCACUUUUGUCCGGAAAGAAAUCCUUGGCUCUAAUACAGUCGGGGGAUGACGGUACCGGAAGAAUAAGCACCGGCUAACUACGUGCCAGCAGCCGCGGUAAUACGUAGGGUGCAAGCGUUAAUCGGAAUUACUGGGCGUAAAGCGUGCGCAGGCGGUUUGCUAAGACCGAUGUGAAAUCCCCGGGCUCAACCUGGGAACUGCAUUGGUGACUGGCAGGCUAGAGUAUGGCAGAGGGGGGUAGAAUUCCACGUGUAGCAGUGAAAUGCGUAGAGAUGUGGAGGAAUACCGAUGGCGAAGGCAGCCCCCUGGGCCAAUACUGACGCUCAUGCGCGAAAGGCGUGGGGAGCAAACAGGAUUAGAUACCCUGGGUAGUCCACGCCCUAAACGAUGUCAACU
Molecule: ribosomal RNA, 472 nt
Filed under: uncultured bacterium
Lineage: Bacteria
Description: partial 16S ribosomal RNA
Rfam family: Bacterial small subunit ribosomal RNA
Source: RNAcentral